Molecule: ribosomal RNA, 277 nt
Filed under: uncultured bacterium
Lineage: Bacteria
Description: partial 16S ribosomal RNA
Rfam family: Bacterial small subunit ribosomal RNA
Source: RNAcentral
UACGAAGGGGGCUAGCGUUGUUCGGAUUUACUGGGCGUAAAGCGCACGUAGGCGGAUCGUUAAGUCGGGGGUGAAAUCCUGGAGCUCAACUCCAGAACUGCCUUCGAUACUGGCGAUCUUGAGUCCGGAAGAGGUGAGUGGAACUCCUAGUGUAGAGGUGGAAUUCGUAGAUAUUCGGAAGAACACCAGUGGCGAAGGCGGCUCACUGGCCCGGUACUGACGCUGAUGUGCGAAAGCGUGGGGAGCCAAACAGGGAUUAAGAAACCCCUGGUACGUC